RNAcentral lists this unclassified non-coding RNA (249 nucleotides) under Helotiales sp. RNAcentral's name for it is "partial contains small subunit ribosomal RNA, internal transcribed spacer 1, and 5.8S ribosomal RNA". The stretch from base 1 to 46 matches the Rfam family "Eukaryotic small subunit ribosomal RNA", at positions 1786 to 1831 of the family's 1831-position model. The record is from RNAcentral. Lineage: Eukaryota; Fungi; Ascomycota; Leotiomycetes; Helotiales.
AAGUCGUAACAAGGUUUCCGUAGGUGAACCUGCGGAAGGAUCAUUACAAGUGUUUGUCGGUGCAUCCCCCUCGGGGGCUCUGCCCGGCGUCACCCACCCGUGUCUAUCUACUCUUGUUGCUUUGGCGGGCCGCUUAACCGCUACGGGCCCUGCUCGUACGUGCCCGCCAGAGGACCAAACUCUGAAUGUUAGUGAUGUCUGAGUACUAUUUAAUAGUUAAAACUUUCAACAACGGAUCUCUUGGUUCUG